RNAcentral lists this ribosomal RNA (253 nucleotides) under uncultured bacterium. RNAcentral describes it as "partial 16S ribosomal RNA". It matches the Rfam family "Bacterial small subunit ribosomal RNA", at positions 524 to 776 of the family's 1533-position model. The record is from RNAcentral.
UACAGAGGUCUCAAGCGUUGUUCGGAUUCAUUGGGCGUAAAGGGCGCGUAGGCUGCGGGGCAAGUCGGGUGUGAAAUCUCAGAGCUCAACUCUGAAACUGCACUCGAUACUGCUUUGCUCGAGGACUGGAGAGGAGAUUGGAAUUCACGGUGUAGCAGUGAAAUGCGUAGAUAUCGUGAGGAAGACCAGUGGCGAAGGCGGCUAUCUGGACGGUUUCUGACGCUAAGACGCGAAAGCGUGGGGAGCAAACAGG